Long non-coding RNA from Dipodomys spectabilis (banner-tailed kangaroo rat), 308 nucleotides. RefSeq lists it as uncharacterized. The transcript is spliced from 2 exons. Lineage: Eukaryota; Metazoa; Chordata; Mammalia; Rodentia; Heteromyidae. The record is from RefSeq and is a predicted model, not a curated record.
CCAAGCUGUCUUUGAAAUGAGAGAAACAGCCUCCUGAGUGGCUAGGAUUAUAGGUGUGAGCCACCAACAUCUGGCUACAAAACUGUUUUUUAAAGUUGUAGGAAAAUAGAGUUCAUAGAUCUUUGUUCCAACAUGUUACCAUAUCCCGUGUCGAUUCCAAUGUGGACGGUACUGAACUCUGAUCAUACCAGUUUCCAUCAGGAUUUAUUGGGUCUGAGAGACCUCCUGCAGAUAAGCUGGUUGACAAUCCCACAGCAGUUUUGUGGUUUUUGUUUUUUGUUUUUUGUUUUUUUUGAUUUUUUUUUUUU